RNAcentral lists this long non-coding RNA (244 nucleotides) under Arachis ipaensis. RNAcentral describes it as "long non-coding RNA (AIPA_LNC000920)". The record is from RNAcentral. Lineage: Eukaryota; Viridiplantae; Streptophyta; Magnoliopsida; Fabales; Fabaceae.
AAUCAGUUUGUCUUUUCCGGGGAAAAAUUUCAGUUAUAUAUCCAAUCUUCCUUGUGCUUCAUUUCUUUGAUGUAGACUUCAGUUGUAUAAAUCAUUCUUGGAAAAGUCUCUUUGUUUUUCCAUUUGUCCUUGUAAUUUCUGAAGUUGAUAUUGUUUAUGUUAGUCAGUAGACAUAUUGCAGUGUGAACUAUAAACAGUACCGAUAUACAAUACUAGCAUCUCAACUUGCCAGUUUGAACAGAAU